This 448-nucleotide ribosomal RNA is filed under the name uncultured bacterium. RNAcentral describes it as "partial 16S ribosomal RNA". It matches the Rfam family "Bacterial small subunit ribosomal RNA", at positions 29 to 523 of the family's 1533-position model. The record is from RNAcentral.
AACGAACGCUGGCGGCAUGCCUAACGCAUGCAAGUCGAACGAGAUCUUCGGGUCUAGUGGCGCACGGGUGCGUAACGCGUGGGAAUCUGCCCUUUGGUUCGGAAUAACAGUUGGAAACGACUGCUAAUACCGGAUGAUGACGAAAGUCCAAAGAUUUAUCGCCAGAGGAUGAGCCCACGUAGGAUUAGCUAGUUGGUGUGGUAAAGGCGCACCAAGGCGACGAUCCUUAGCUGGUCUGAGAGGAUGAUCAGCCACACUGGGACUGAGACACGGCCCAGACUCCUACGGGAGGCAGCAGUGGGGAAUAUUGGACAAUGGGCGAAAGCCUGAUCCAGCAAUGCCGCGUGAGUGAUGAAGGCCUAGGGUUGUAAAGCUCUUUUACCCGGGAUGAUAAUGACAGUACCGGGAGAAUAAGCUCCGGCUAACUCCGUGCCAGCCGCCGCCGUAA